RNAcentral lists this long non-coding RNA (248 nucleotides) under Lathyrus oleraceus (garden pea). RNAcentral's name for it is "Pisum sativum (pea) long non-coding RNA (PSAT_LNC002410)". The record is from RNAcentral. Lineage: Eukaryota; Viridiplantae; Streptophyta; Magnoliopsida; Fabales; Fabaceae.
AAAUUAGGUGCAAAAUAUGUUCAAACAAUCCAAACAUUUAAGCAAAUGCAUAAGCAAUUGAUCACACCAAGCAAUCCUCAAAAAUAAGUUCAAAUAUGAUUCAAAAUUGAUAACCAAAACACCAAAUGAAUUCUCAAAGGACCUAUAUGCAUGUCUCUACAUGUGUACAAAAAUUUGGAUCAAAAUAAAAAAUUAAACCCUAACAAUUAAAACUAGGUCAAUUAACACAUUUAGUUAUAAAAAUCAAA